Molecule: ribosomal RNA, 39 nt
Filed under: Hyalomonas chlamydogama
Lineage: Eukaryota; Viridiplantae; Chlorophyta; Chlorophyceae; Chlamydomonadales; Chlamydomonadaceae
Description: Chlamydomonas chlamydogama partial Bacterial large subunit ribosomal RNA
Source: RNAcentral
GAUAACAGGCUGAUCUUCCCCAUGAGUUCACAUUGACAA